GGCUACACACGUGCUACAAUGGACGGUACAAAGAGCUGCAAGACCGCGAGGUGGAGCUAAUCUCAUAAAACCGUUCUCAGUUCGGAUUGUAGGCUGCAACUCGCCUACAUGAAGCUGGAAUCGCUAGUAAUCGCGGAUCAGCAUGCCGCGGUGAAUACGUUCCCGGGCCUUGUACACACCGCCCGUCACACCACGAGAGUUUGUAACACCCGAAGUCGGUGGGGUAACCUUUUUGGAGCCAGCCGCCUAAGGUGGGACAGAUGAUUGGGGUGAAGUCGUAACAAGGUAGCCGUAUCGGAAGGUGCGGUUGGAUCACCUCCUAG
This 323-nucleotide ribosomal RNA is filed under the name Bacillus thuringiensis. Its description in RNAcentral is "bacterial SSU rRNA". It matches the Rfam family "Bacterial small subunit ribosomal RNA", at positions 1212 to 1533 of the family's 1533-position model. The record is from RNAcentral. Lineage: Bacteria; Bacillati; Bacillota; Bacilli; Caryophanales; Bacillaceae.